ACGUGGGUAAUCUGCCCUGCACUUUGGGAUAAGCCUGGGAAACUGGGUCUAAUACCGGAUAGGACUACGCGAUGCAUGUCGUGUGGUGGAAAGCUUUUGCGGUGUGGGAUGGGCCCGCGGCCUAUCAGCUUGUUGGUGGGGUGAUGGCCUACCAAGGCGACGACGGGUAGCCGGCCUGAGAGGGUGUCCGGCCACACUGGGACUGAGAUACGGCCCAGACUCCUACGGGAGGCAGCAGUGGGGAAUAUUGCACAAUGGGCGCAAGCCUGAUGCAGCGACGCCGCGUGAGGGAUGACGGCCUUCGGGUUGUAAACCUCUUUCAUAGGGACGAAGCGCAAGUGACGGUACCUAGAGAAGAAGCACCGGCCAACUACGUGCCAGCAGCCGCGGUAAUACGUAGGGUGCGAGCG
Molecule: ribosomal RNA, 410 nt
Filed under: uncultured Mycobacterium sp.
Lineage: Bacteria; Bacillati; Actinomycetota; Actinomycetes; Mycobacteriales; Mycobacteriaceae
Description: bacterial SSU rRNA
Rfam family: Bacterial small subunit ribosomal RNA
Source: RNAcentral